UUGAGGGAGGGUCUCCGACUAGAGCAGCAGGAGCAAGGAGCUCGAGGAGGUUCAGGUUUGCCUCUACAUCCUUUCUCUUUCCUCCACUUUCUUCUUGCAUUUAGAUGAUAGAAUUUGUGAUCAUGUGUAUGUGCAUUUAUGAGAUCUUUGCUGCUAGGUAUAUAGUUUAUGGUUACUGAAAUUGGAUAAUAGAGAGUCGCAACUUCAGUUUUCAAUUACAGUAGUUGAUGUGUUAUGUUUGCUGCAAUAUGUCAUGUGUGUUUGAGAGAGAGGGAUGAAAAAGAGGGGACUGGAAGCUUGAUCAUUGCCAGGAUCUAGAUUCAAAGAGAGGGAUAAAAAAGAAGGGACAUGGAUUCAGAGAGGGAUGAAAACAGGGGACUGAAAGAUCUUGCAUUGCGUUUCUUCAUCUACCAAUACGGUUUUGUGUACCAUUUGAACAUAACCAAGCAGUAUAACAAAAGUGUGCUGGUUUAUGGCUUCUCAUGGGAUGUGAUUCUGGUCAUGCUGCUUGUUAUGAAGGACAAGAUUUCGCGGCGGAAGUUUGGAGGAAAUGGGGAGUCCCGAUCAACUACGAAGCUGAUAAAGAUCUGGAGGAAUUCUUGUUGGUGGCUGAAUUCAAACGGUCCCAGAUCCGCC
Triticum dicoccoides is the source of this 636-nucleotide long non-coding RNA. RefSeq lists it as uncharacterized. Lineage: Eukaryota; Viridiplantae; Streptophyta; Magnoliopsida; Poales; Poaceae. The record is from RefSeq and is a predicted model, not a curated record. The transcript is spliced from 3 exons.